Long non-coding RNA from Esox lucius (northern pike), 283 nucleotides. NCBI's taxonomy places the organism in Eukaryota, Metazoa, Chordata, Actinopteri, Esociformes, Esocidae. The record is from Ensembl.
CCCACCCUGACUACGCCUCGAUAUCCUGUCCAUAAAAGUUACAAACAGGAGUGGUGACAAAGCGCAGCCCUGGCGGAGGCCAACCCCCACCUGGAACGAGUCCUACUUACUACUGAGAACUCGAACACAGCUCUCACUUUGGACGUACAUGGAUUGGAUAGCCCUCAAAAGAAUCCAUCAGAAGAGACCAGUUUCCUCUGUUCCCAGCUGUCUGUCCAUGAAGACUGAUCAGUCUAUGGAACCUCCCAUUUUGUUUAAAGACAGAUGUUCUCACUGAAGAAAG